This 218-nucleotide ribosomal RNA is filed under the name uncultured bacterium. RNAcentral describes it as "partial 16S ribosomal RNA". It matches the Rfam family "Bacterial small subunit ribosomal RNA", at positions 57 to 305 of the family's 1533-position model. The record is from RNAcentral.
GCAAGUCGAACGAACCUUCUGUUGAGUGGCGCACGGGUGCGUAACGCGUGGGAAUAUACCCUUGGGUACGGAACAACGUCUGGAAACGGACGCUAAUACCGUAUAAUGACUUCGGUCCAAAGAUUCAUCGCCCAGGGAUUAGCCCGCGUUAGAUUAGAUAGUUGGUGAGGUAAUGGCUCACCAAGUCGACGAUCUAUAGGGGGUCUGAGAGGAUGAUC